Molecule: long non-coding RNA, 672 nt
Filed under: Homo sapiens (human)
Lineage: Eukaryota; Metazoa; Chordata; Mammalia; Primates; Hominidae
Description: HSALNT0110976
Source: RNAcentral
GUGAAGGGGGAAAUACAUGUGGCUUCAUCAAAGCAGCUUGUGAGAGCUUUUGCGGUGUGUUUUGUUAAGAGAAAAUGGAACAAGGCUGGGUGAAUUCUGCUAUCAAGAGGGGUUUUCAAGUUUGUUUACUCUGAUGUGCAAACUUCCAGGAACAUGGGGUUCCAUCGCUCUUGUACUCUUCGCUGGUGCGGAAACUGCUUUCUAAAGCUACGGGUAUGUUGAUUCCAGUUAGCCUUCCUCGGACUGCAAUUUACUGUAUCCUCAUUUAAAAACAGCAAUGUCGGUGCCAUGAAGUCACUCACACAGAAUAAAAUAACGCAUAUGUAAAAUGAACACCGUUUCCUACCACCUUCCUGCACUUCCAUAUAUUAUCUAGAAGAUUAAAAUGCGCUGAUUCAUAGUACAGUUACAAGAAAUGUCACUGGUUUCUCAACUUGAACAUCCCUUCUUUGGCAGUGUAAUUUGCAUGAAACUUUUUCUUUCCUCACAACAGAUGUUCAUAUUCCUGCCAGCAAAAACGAGAUGUUCUACAUAUGCACCUUUGUGGCUCACUUCUGAGAAGACGUUAUUGACAAUAAAGGCAAAAAUGCACUCAUGGUUCCACCAUUGUAAGUCAGGUGAUUAAUAUAUUUUAAGGAGGAAUAAUUAUUAAAUAAAAAUUGUGAGCACAUG